CAACGUAAAGAACCUGCCUUAUAGACUGGGACAACUAUUGGAAACGAUAGCUAAUACCGGAUAACAGCAUUAACUGCAUGGUUGAUGUUUGAAAGUUGGUUUUGCUAACACUAUGAGAUGGCUUUGCGGUGCAUUAGCUAGUUGGUGGGGUAAAGGCCUACCAAGGCGACGAUGCAUAGCCGACCUGAGAGGGUGAUCGGCCACACUGGGACUGAGACACGGCCCAG
Molecule: ribosomal RNA, 227 nt
Filed under: uncultured bacterium
Lineage: Bacteria
Description: partial 16S ribosomal RNA
Rfam family: Bacterial small subunit ribosomal RNA
Source: RNAcentral